AGUGAACGCUGGCGGUAGGCCUAACACAUGCAAGUCGAACGGCAGCACAGUAAGAGCUUGCUCUUACGGGUGGCGAGUGGCGGACGGGUGAGGAAUACAUCGGAAUCUACUUUUUCGUGGGGGAUAACGUAGGGAAACUUACGCUAAUACCGCAUACGACCUACGGGUGAAAGCAGGGGAUCUUCGGACCUUGCGCGAUUGAAUGAGCCGAUGCCGGAUUAGCUAGUUGGCGGGGUAAAGGCCCACCAAGGCGACGAUCCGUAGCUGGUCUGAGAGGAUGAUCAGCCACACUGGAACUGAGACACGGCCCAGACUCCUACGGGAGGCAGCAGUGGGGAAUAUUGGACAAUGGGCGCAAGCCUGAUCCAGCCAUACCGCGUGGGUGAAGAAGGCCUUCGGGUUGUAAAGCCCUUUUGUUGGGAAAGAAAAGCAGCAGGUUAAUACCCCGCUGUUCUGACGGUACCCAAAGAAUAAGCACCGGCUAACUUCGUG
RNAcentral lists this ribosomal RNA (492 nucleotides) under uncultured bacterium. RNAcentral's name for it is "partial 16S ribosomal RNA". It matches the Rfam family "Bacterial small subunit ribosomal RNA", at positions 29 to 507 of the family's 1533-position model. The record is from RNAcentral.